Molecule: ribosomal RNA, 446 nt
Filed under: Bacillaceae bacterium Ellin5411
Lineage: Bacteria; Bacillati; Bacillota; Bacilli; Caryophanales; Bacillaceae
Description: bacterial SSU rRNA
Rfam family: Bacterial small subunit ribosomal RNA
Source: RNAcentral
CGCUGGCGGCGUGCCUAAUACAUGCAAGUCGAGCGGACCACUUCGGUGGUCAGCGGCGGACGGGUGAGUAACACGUGGGCAACCUGCCUGUAAGACUGGGAUAACACCGGGAAACCGGUGCUAAUACCGGAUAAUCCUUUCCUUCACAUGAAGGAAAGCUGAAAGACGGUUUCGGCUGUCACUUACAGAUGGGCCCGCGGCGCAUUAGCUAGUUGGUGAGGUAACGGCUCACCAAGGCAACGAUGCGUAGCCGACCUGAGAGGGUGAUCGGCCACACUGGGACUGAGACACGGCCCAGACUCCUACGGGAGGCAGCAGUAGGGAAUCUUCCGCAAUGGACGAAAGUCUGACGGAGCAACGCCGCGUGAGCGAUGAAGGCCUUCGGGUCGUAAAGCUCUGUUGUCAGGGAAGAACAAGUACCGGAGUAACUGCCGGUACCUUGACGG